This 644-nucleotide ribosomal RNA is filed under the name uncultured bacterium. RNAcentral's name for it is "bacterial SSU rRNA". It matches the Rfam family "Bacterial small subunit ribosomal RNA", at positions 202 to 834 of the family's 1533-position model. The record is from RNAcentral.
AAAAGGUGGCUAUGCUACCGCUUUUGGAUGGGCCCGCGGCGCAUUAGCUAGUUGGUGGGGUAAAGGCUUACCAAGGCAAUGAUGCGUAGCCGAACUGAGAGGUUGAUCGGCCACAUUGGGACUGAGACACGGCCCAAACUCCUACGGGAGGCAGCAGUAGGGAAUCUUCCACAAUGGGCGAAAGCCUGAUGGAGCAACGCCGCGUGGGUGAAGAAGGUCUUCGGAUCGUAAAACCCUGUUGUUAGAGAAGAAAGUGCGUGAGAGUAACUGUUCACGUUUCGACGGUAUCUAACCAGAAAGCCACGGCUAACUACGUGCCAGCAGCCGCGGUAAUACGUAGGUGGCAAGCGUUAUCCGGAUUUAUUGGGCGUAAAGGGAACGCAGGCGGUCUUUUAAGUCUGAUGUGAAAGCCUUCGGCUUAACCGGAGUAGUGCAUUGGAAACUGGGAGACUUGAGUGCAGAAGAGGAGAGUGGAACUCCAUGUGUAGCGGUGAAAUGCGUAGAUAUAUGGAAGAACACCAGUGGCGAAAGCGGCUCUCUGGUCUGUAACUGACGCUGAGGUUCGAAAGCGUGGGUAGCAAACAGGAUUAGAUACCCUGGUAGUCCACGCCGUAAACGAUGAAUGCUAAGUGUUGGAGGGUUUC